UACGAACCGUCCAAGCGUUAUUCGGAAUCACUGGGCUUAAAGGGCACGUAGGCGGCGCUGUUAGUCGGGUGUGAAAUCCCUCGGCUCAACCGAGGAAUUGCGUCCGAUACUGCAGUGCUUGAGGGAGACAGAGGUAAGCGGAACUGAUGGUGGAGCGGUGAAAUGCGUUGAUAUCAGCAGGAACACCGGUGGCGAAAGCGGCUUACUGGGUCUCUUCUGACGCUGAGGUACGAAAGCGAGGGGAGCGAAGGGG
Molecule: ribosomal RNA, 253 nt
Filed under: uncultured bacterium
Lineage: Bacteria
Description: partial 16S ribosomal RNA
Rfam family: Bacterial small subunit ribosomal RNA
Source: RNAcentral